GCCUACGGGACGCAGCAGUGAGGAAUAUUGGUCAAUGGGCUUACGCCUGAACCAGCCAAGUCGCGUGAGGGAAGACUGCCCUAUGGGUUGUAAACCUCUUUUGUCAGGGAGCAACGCCGGCUACGUGUAGCCGGACUGAGAGUACCUGAAGAAAAAGCAUCGGCUAACUCCGUGCCAGCAGCCGCGGUAAUACGGAGGAUGCGAGCGUUAUCCGGAUUUAUUGGGUUUAAAGGGUGCGUAGGCGGAAUGCCAAGUCAGCGGUAAAAUCGCGGGGCUCAACCCGGGCCGGCCGUUGAAACUGGGGG
Molecule: ribosomal RNA, 305 nt
Filed under: uncultured bacterium
Lineage: Bacteria
Description: bacterial SSU rRNA
Rfam family: Bacterial small subunit ribosomal RNA
Source: RNAcentral